GGGAAAGGGGACCCUUAAUUUUGAAUUGGUUCUAGAAUUGGUCAAGGGGGCCCAAUGGUUUUUUCCCGGGGUUUGGUGAGUGCCGAUGGGAACCUGCCCGAUUGUGGGGGAUAACCUGGGGAAACCCAGGCUAAUACCGCAUACGUCCUACGGGAGAAAGGGGGCUUCGGCUCCCGCUAUCGGAUGAGCCUAUGUCGGAUUAGCUAGUUGGUGAGGUAAAGGCUCACCAAGGCAACGAUCCGUAGCUGGUCUGAGAGGAUGAUCAGCCACAUCGGGACUGAGACACGGCCCGAACUCCUACGGGAGGCAGCAGUGGGGAAUAUUGGACAAUGGGGGCAACCCUGAUCCAGCCAUGCCGCGUGUGUGAAGAAGGCCCUCGGGUUGUAAAGCACUUUCAGCGAGGAAGAACGCCUAGUGGUUAAUACCCGCUAGGAAAGACAUCACUCGCAGAAGAAGCACCGGCUAACUCCGUGCCAGCAGCCGCGGUAAUACGGAGGGUGCAAGCGUUAAUCGGAAUUACUGGGCGUAAAGCGCGCGUAGGUGGCUUGAUAAGCCGGUUGUGAAAGCCCCGGGCUCAACCUGGGAACGGCAUCCGGAACUGUCAAGCUAGAGUGCAGGAGAGGAAGGUAGAAUUCCCGGUGUAGCGGUGAAAUGCGUAGAGAUCGGGAGGAAUACCAGUGGCGAAGGCGGCCUUCUGGACUGACACUGACACUGAGGUGCGAAAGCGUGGGUAGCAAACAGGAUUAGAUACCCUGGUAGUCCACGCCGUAAACGAUGUCGACCAGCCGUUGGGUGCCUAGCGCACUUUGUGGCGAAGUUAACGCGAUAAGUCGACCGCCUGGGGAGUACGGCGCAAGUUAAACUCAAUGAAUUGACGGGGCCCGCACAGCGUGGAGCAUGUGGUUUAUUCGAUGCAACGCGAGAACCUACCUACUCUGGACUCCCUGCGAAUUC
RNAcentral lists this ribosomal RNA (954 nucleotides) under Halomonas sp. PS4-4. Its description in RNAcentral is "bacterial SSU rRNA". It matches the Rfam family "Bacterial small subunit ribosomal RNA", at positions 65 to 998 of the family's 1533-position model. Lineage: Bacteria; Pseudomonadati; Pseudomonadota; Gammaproteobacteria; Oceanospirillales; Halomonadaceae. The record is from RNAcentral.